Molecule: ribosomal RNA, 567 nt
Filed under: Blastocystis sp.
Lineage: Eukaryota; Bigyra; Opalinata; Blastocystidae
Description: partial small subunit ribosomal RNA
Rfam family: Eukaryotic small subunit ribosomal RNA
Source: RNAcentral
AAUUAAGCCAUGCAUGUGUAAGUAUAACUAAUUAAACUUUAAAACUGCGAAUGGGCUCAUUAUAUCAGUUAUAGUUUAUUUGAUGCAAUCUACUACUUGGAUAACCGUAGUAAUUCUAGAGCUAAUACAUGGAUAAAGUCCUCAACGUGUAUGUGAGGUGUAUAUAUUAGAAUGAAUGCCUAGUAGACUUAUAUCUAUUCGUGAGUAAUAUAUAACUUAUCAUAUCUGCAUGCUUAGGUAAGAUAUGUCUUUCCUGCUUCUAGCCCUAUCUCCAUGCGAUGGUAGUGUAUUGGACGACCAUGGCGGUAACGGGUAACUAAGAAUUUCGAUUUCGAUAUACGGAGAGGGAGCCUGAGAUAUGGCUUCCACAUCCGGGGAAGGGAGCGUGCGCUACCCUUACCCGAUCCUGACACGUGGAGGCAAUGACUCUAAAUGACAAUGCGGAACUAUUGCUUUUGCAUUGGGAUUGACAACCACGUACUAUCCUUAUCCAUUAGCAAUUGGAGGGCGAGGCUGGCGCCCGCGGCCGCGCCAAUUCCAGCUCCGAUAACGAAUAUUAACGUUGUU